Molecule: ribosomal RNA, 382 nt
Filed under: uncultured bacterium
Lineage: Bacteria
Description: bacterial SSU rRNA
Rfam family: Bacterial small subunit ribosomal RNA
Source: RNAcentral
UCGGGAAUUUUGGGCAAUGGGCGAAAGCCUGACCCAGCAACGCCGCGUGAGGGAUGAAGUAUUUCGGUAUGUAAACCUCGAAAGAAUGGGAAGAAUAAAUGACGGUACCAUUUAUAAGCUCCGGCUAACUACGUGCCAGCAGCCGCGGUAAUACGUAGGGAGCAAGCGUCGUUCGGAUUUACUGGGCGUAAAGGGCGCGUAGGCGGCGCGGUAAGUCACUUGUGAAAUCUCUGAGCUUAACUCAGAACGGCCAAGUGAUACUGCUGUGCUAGAGUGCGGAAAAGGCUACCGGAAUUCUUGGUGUAGCGGUGAAAUGCGUAGAUAUCAAGAGGAACACCUGAGGCGAAGGCGGGUUGCUGGGCCGACACUGACGCUGAUGCAC